UCUUAACUUCCUUGUUACGCAAAGUCGCACAUGUUAGGAAGGGUAACAAAGAACGAGUGUAGAAGGUAAAAGCGGUAUGCACGAGCCCAAGCGACAAAUAAAGACGAUGGAGUUCGACGUAGAGAAGAACGACUACAGCGUGCCCGAGUUCUACGAGCACUUUGGCAAGGGGCUGCCUCAAGUGAUCAUGAUCAGUCAUGGAUUCUUUGCAGUCAUCGUAGAAGACACGUUCGAUAUUCGAUGAUUCAUGUAUAAGAAACUAUGUGGUUUAAGCAAACACAUCUAAUACUUUCUGUUUAUUUCAUCCAGGCGUCAUGGGACCAGACGUGGUGAACGUGCCCCUGUACCUGUCUCAACUUCGCAUUGCGCGCAUGAUUGGCCUAAAGAACACGCCUACCCAGAUAUGGCGCGGUUAUCUUGAGGAAUUGGAGCGCUUCAGUUCCUAUCUGAAAUACGACAAAGAGUACGGAAAUCAAGAUUCUUGACGAAAAUUGACGUCAUGAAGAGAGACAAACUUCUAAAGGGCACCGGAUUAUACAACAAUGAGGAUUUAACAAAACAAAACGCGGAAGUGCUAGCAUCUCUGCGCCUCAAAGAGCCGGGCCGUGUUGAAAAGUCUUGGUCGUUCGAGAGCAAGCUGUUCGUGAGGUAUAGGGGCAGUGAGCGUAAUGAACAGAUACAUUUUAAUCAAUACCAGGGCUGGCUGAGCAAACCGUAACCAAUCAAAGAACCGACCACAUACGACCAGAAAUUAUCGCCUACUGGUGCAAGCAGCCGACCACCAAAACAUAAGUAAUAUGAACUACGUGAAACGUUUGACAACUUGUAUGUGUUUUCCCCAUAAAGCGGCAGCAGUUUUGUAAGCAUUCAUGAACCAUAUCGUAGUGAAACUCGCAUUUAUUAAUGAAUGAAAACUUUGUACACUUAAUUAGUAAUAGCUAAAUUUAAAAGAUUGACGAUUGAAGUUAUUUAUGUGAAUAUUUCUUUUUUACGACCAUUAUAUUUAGUAUAGACUGCGCAUUGUGAAAGUCUUCUGAUUACAUAUGUGUCCUUAUUAUUUUUCCAUAUACCUUAAUUGUUGUGCAGUUUUUUGAACAUACCUUUGCUUACAAUUACGUAUUUACCUUCCGGCUCCUUCCUUCUAUUCAUUCUACUCUUUUGUAUAUUCAUUUUUCUUCUAACGUAUUUAUAUUUGAUACGUAGUUGCUUAAUAAUCAACCUGGCAGUGUGCUUAUCUCCCUUACAAAUCACCUACCCACACAAAUGUUUUGCUGCGUACGUCCGCUCGUGACUUAGUUCGCGCUUCUGCCCCACAUGCAUGCAUUAUAAUACAAAUAUUGUGUGAAUUUUGUUUUUUGAUUCUAAUCGUUAUCCUACACUAGGCUGUUGCUAUUUACCACGUAAGCAUAUGGGUUUGUUUAUUACAAAAUAUUACAGUAUAUAUAAAUAAUAUCUUUUUGCCUCGGUAAUUCAGUACUGAUAAAAAAGUAUAAUAACAAAAAGGCCUAGUAAUAAUGCUCACCAAUAUAAAUCGUUCACUAUUCUUAUUGUAAGAACCUAUUAAUGUACCGUUACGACGAAGGCAUUAAUUUGUGAACUGUAAGCGAUGGUAAUCAAUGUAUGCUUUCCUCGCGAAUGACUGUUAUGGCCACAUAAAAAUCGUGCAUCACGUGCACUAAAAAACAAUGAAUAGAACAGUGAUGGUGCAACAAGCAAAAUACAAGUGGAGUUCAAGGAUGCCGGAAAAAUGCUUUAGAGCUGUACAAAACAAUUGUUAGUGUGUACCUCUUUUUUUAGUAUUUUCAUAGAGGUUAGUCUGCUUGAUCGAAUAAUCAAAAGUGUCAAAUUGAUUACAGUGGUGUGUCUUUAUACUGUGUACUGGCAUUUAAAUGACAUGUGCAAGUAUUGUUGUACUGUUUUGAUGAGGUUUUUUUCUGUCUCACUUUACAUAUAGUUUAUAGAACAUGAAUAAUGUUAUUUUAUUGUUGCAUUAAAGAUACAUCUGCCACUAAUCUUAAUCAAUUAACUGUCAUAAAUACCGUAACGCUAAAGCAAUCAAUUCGUGAAUUACAGGCAAUUAUAAUAAUCAUAUCUUAAUAGGUAUUAGGUUAUCGCCAACGAAAACUCGUGCAAAACGUGCACAAAUAAAAAAGAAUGCGAAUAAAGAUGAUCAUUUAUGCGUAAAUUGUUGAAUGCCAAUCAAGCUCACGUGCACCGGGUCAAUGAUAUUAAGCUAUACAUAACAAGUUUCAUUGAGAGCUGUGUUUGCUUUGUGUUUUUUCUGUUUGUUCUUUUUCCAUUUGUCAUAUUGUUUAGGUUGUUAUAUUGUUCGCAACAUAUUACUGUCAUAUACAAGACAACGAUUAUUUGUUGUAUUGUUUUGGGGUGACCUUUUCUGUCUCACUGUACAUACAUUUUCUUGUACAUGUAAACUGUUGUUUUAUUUUGCAAUGAAAUUUAUUGUUGGAUCCGAUUGUAUUUUUAUUCCUAUAGCUCUCUCAUAUCCAAUUUUGUACUAUUUAUCUUUUUUCUUCACCUGUUUUUGUUUAUUGUUUUUUUUCUCAUGUAUGUGAUUAUUUCUGUAAACCUCUGCAUUUCAAUGGAAUAUUCAUCUUUUUGUUUCCUUAUUUUCUAUUUGUGUUUGUAUGUAUGGUCAUCGUACGUCUUAUAAUAGAAACCAACUGGACAUAUUUUAAAAUAGAAACUAAAUGGACAACCACACACACACACUAUCAAUUACAUCACCCUACUCCUCUUUAAGUGAUUAAGUUAUGUGCUUUGAAUGUAAAAGGGCUAAACAAUAAAGAAAAACGCAUACAAAUCUUCAAAUGGUUAGACGAAAAAAAAAGUAUAUGCCUAUUACAAGAAAGUCACUUGACACAAACUUUAGCACAAACCUUAAAAGAUGAAUGGGACGGGGACAUCUAUCUCAGUGGACAACAUACUAAUAAACAGGGCAUUGCCUUUCUGAUAAAUAAUAAUAUAGGGAUCACAGUCGAAAACUUUAAAGAUUAUAAUAAUUGGCAGACAAGCAAGUAUAGAUAUAAAAAAACACGAAACACAAUUAACAUUAAUCAACGUUUACGGACCUAACAUAGAUGAUUCCACAUUUUACGAACAUUACAAUCGUUUGUAAUUAAUAACCAAGAUAAAACAUUAUAAUCGGUGGUGAUUUCAAUACUGUUCUUAACACAUUAUUUGAUAAAAAGAAGGGAAACCUUGAUGCUCAUUAUAAAAAUAGAAACAUUUUGAAUAACAUAAUUGAAAAUUACAAUAUGAUAGACAUCUGGCGUACAAUAAAUCCAAACGAAAGCAAAUUCACCUGGCACUCAAACACAAAACCAACAAUAUUUUGUAGAUUAGACUAUUUUUUAAUAUCUGAGUCACUUUGCAACAUUAUUGACACAUGUUACAUAAAACCAGGAUUUAUUACUGACAACUCUAUAGUUGAACUUAAAAUACACAAAAUACAACCUGAAAGAGGUCCAGGAUACUUUUAAAUUAAUAACAGCAUAUUAUUAGAAACACAAUACCAAACGCAAAUAAAACAAGAAAUACUCAAGAAACAGCUCAAAAUAAUAAAGAUGCGAACCCACACACUUUAUGGGAAGUUAUUAAAGGAAAUAUACGUAACACAACAAUUAGAUACACAUCAUUUAAACAAGAAGAAACACGCAAACUUGAAACUGUAACCAUCAAAAUCAUUGAAACACUUGAAAAACAAUUACAUAAAACAAACACAAACGAUACCAAAGACAUUGAGAAUGAAAUAACAUUAAAAAAAAACAAGUAUUAGAAGGAAUUUAUCAUACACAACGCAAUGGAAUUAUAUUACCAGCACGCGCACAGUAUGUUGAACACAAUGACAAAAAUACAAAAUACUUCGCAAACAUCGAAAAACGUAGAAGUGAACAAAAAACUGUACACAAAUUAGUAGUUAAUGGUGAAGAUAUAACACACAGAACUCAAAUACUAGAAGAACAACGUUUAUUUUUCGAAACCCUCUAUAAACAUGUUGAAAAUAACACCCUCUUUAAAAAUACACAUCAAUCUUUAAAUCAAGAAGAAAAACAACUGUGCGACGGAUAACUUAAUGAAUAUGAAUGUGGAUUAGCACUUAAAGAAAUGCAAAAUAACAAAAGUCCAGGAUCUGAUUGCAUCUCAGUCGAAUUUUAUAAAAUAUUCUGGAACGAUAUUUAAACACAUUUAAUUAAUUCACUUUACUAUUCAUUUAACAACAAAAACCUUACUACGCUACAAAAACAAGGCAUAAUAUCACUCAUUGCAAAACCUGGAAAAAACUUAGAAUCCUUAUCAAACUUGCGCCCGAUAAGUCUACUUAACAAGUAUUAUAAAAUUACAACUAAAAGUAUAUCAAACAGAAUCAAAAAAGUAUUACCAUCAGUCAUUUCAAGACCUUAAUCUGGUUUUAUUAAAGGACGAUACGUUGGUGAAAAUGUACGUCUGAUACAAGAAUGCAUAAAUUAUUUCAACCAACCAAACAUUCUUGCCUCAUCUUCUUUGCAGACUUUGAAAAGGCUUUCGAUUCACUAGACCAUUCGUUUAUGUUCUCUUGCUUAGAAAAUAUGAAUUUCGGUGAAAGUCUUAUAAAAUGGGUAAAACUAUUUUAUACCGAUAUAAACAGUAUACUAAUUAACAAUGGCUUCUUCUCAAACAGUUUUAACAUCGUACGAGGGGUACGACAAGGAUGUCCACUCUCAUCCUCACUAUUUAUUAUAUGCAUUUAGUAUCUAUCACACUAUAUCCAAUCAAAUAAACAUAUAAAUGGAAUAUCGCUAGAACCUGACGAAGAAAUUAAACAGUCCCUAUUUGCUGACGACGCAACUUAUUUUUUUAAAUGACAGUAUUGACUCAUUCAAUAAUCUUAUAGAAUCGCUUACCCUUUUUGGAAUGGCAUCGGGUCUUAACCUUAACAAAAGUAAAUGCACUGUGCUUCGAUUAGGUAAAUUUAAACAAAGUAAUAUUCAACUUUAAAACGAAAUGAAAUUCCACUGGACAUCAGAUGAAGCAAACAACGUUAGGAACAACAUUUACAAACAAUGAAAAUGAAACAGUUCAAAAAAACAUACUGCCUUAACAACAAAAAUUUAAAAAUUGUUUAAAAUCAUGGCAAGCAUCGUAAACUUACACUAAUCGGAAAAAACACAGUGUUGAAAACGUGUGCACUCCCUAAAUUAAUUUAUACACUAACAGUUCUCCCAAACCCGUCAAAUGAUAUUAUUAAAGAUAUACAAUCAAAAAUAUUUAAUUUCAUAUGGGACGUUAAACCUGAUAAAGUUAAGCGAACUCAGUUAAUUCAAUCUGUAGAACAUUAUGGUAUCCAAUUAACGGACAUCGACUCAUUCUUGAAUGCAAUAAAAUGCAGCUGGGUUAAAAGAUAUCUAGAUAAUACCAAUACAAGUAAAUGGAAAUAAUUCUACCAGGAAAUCCUUAAAAUAUAUGGUGACUCCUUACUUGUUGAAUGUAACAUCAGCAAUUCCAUUUUGCAUGAAAUUGCAAACGAAAACAUAUUUCUAUCUAAUGUUUUAUCGGCAUGGACUAAUGUUACGCAUAAUCUAGAAACCCAAAUCACCAGUACAACUAUUUUAUGGAACAAUAAAGACAUAACUUCAAACAAUAAGACUUUUUUCUAUAAACAUUGGUUUGAAAAAAACAUUAAAUAUGUCGACCAAUUGUACGAUUACAGAAUAAAGGACUUCUAUUCUUUUGAGAAUAUAUGUUACAUAUACGGAAUACCUUCAGGCAAUUUCCUAAUGUAUUACACAUUAAUUAAAAGCAUACCCAUACAUAUUAAAUCUACAAUUAAUACAAAUAACACACCAUGUACUCAAACAUCAUUCACGGAAAACAUACUUGCAAAACAAAACAAAACAAACAAAAUAUUUUACAAACUACACAUUAAACACCCUGGGGAAAACUCCAAGAUUCAAAAUAAAUGGCAAAGCCUUCUACGAGAACAAGAAUUUAAUUGGAAACAAAUAUUGAUCAUGCCAUAUAAAACAACUAUAGAUAGCACACUGAGAAAUAUUCAAUAUAAAUAUGUCCAUAGAAUCAAAGCUACAAAUAAAUACCUUUUUAAGUGCAACCUUACCAACACAAAUUUAUGUGAUAUAUGCAGCGAACACAUUGAAACAAUAGAACACCUUUUCUGGGAGUGCAAACAUAUUCAAAUUCUAUGGCACCAAUUAACAACAUUUCUAGAGAAACAACAAUUACAAUUAAAAUUGUCUCUCUUAAAUAUCAGUUUCGGUGUGAAUACUUUUAAAAUACCAGAAAUUAAUAACACUGUGAACCACAUUAUCAUAUUAAUGAAAUAUUGUAUAUUUAGCUUCAAAUACAAAAAACAAAUACCUACUUUCAACUGUUUUAUAAACUAUUUAAAACUAAACAUCCAAAUUGAAAAAAGAAAUAGCCCUCAACAACAAUACACUUCAUAAUUAUGAAAAAAAAAUGAAAACACAUAAACUUUCAUAACCCAGUCCAGUUGUCUUCCACCUAACUCUACGCAACUCAUCUAUAGGAUUGAUUAUUACAUUUAAAAAAACAGCUAUACACCACAUGCAACCAAAGCACAAAAAACAGUAUAUCCAAGCAUAUCAUGUAUAAUAUGUGUUUGACAUUAUUACUGUUGUAUUAUACCACUUUUGUUCUUGCU
Molecule: long non-coding RNA, 6676 nt
Organism: Dreissena polymorpha
Lineage: Eukaryota; Metazoa; Mollusca; Bivalvia; Myida; Dreissenidae
Exons: 3
Source: RefSeq, a predicted model, not a curated record